GCCAUGGGGCCUCCUACCGUGCGAGUCGAGCGGCAGCGACUUAACUGAACCUUCGGGGAACGUUGAGGGCGGCGAGCGGCGGACGGGUGAGUAAUGCCUGGGAAUAUGCCCUGAUGUGGGGGAUAACUAUUGGAAACGAUAGCUAAUACCGCAUAAUCUCUUCGGAGCAAAGAGGGGGACCUUCGGGCCUCUCGCGUCAGGAUUAGCCCAGGUGGGAUUAGCUUGUUGGUGAGGUAAUGGCUCACCAAGGCAACGAUCCCUAGCUGGUCUGAGAGGAUGAUCAGCCACACUGGAACUGAGACACGGUCCAGACUCCUACGGGAGGCAGCAGUGGGGAAUAUUGCACAAUGGGGGAAACCCUGAUGCAGCCAUGCCGCGUGUGUGAAGAAGGCCUUCGGGUUGUAAAGCACUUUCAGUAGGGAGGAAGGUAGUGUAGUUAACACCUGCAUUAUUUGACGUUACCUACAGAAGAAGCACCGGCUAACUCCGUGCCAGCAGCCGCGGUAAUACGGAGGGUGCGAGCGUUAAUCGGAAUUACUGGGCGUAAAGCGCAUGCAGGCGGCCUGUUAAGUCAGAUGUGAAAGCCCGGGGCUUAACCUCGGAAUUGCAUUUGAAACUGGCAGGCUAGAGUCUUGUAGAGGGGGGUAGAAUUUCAGGUGUAGCGGUGAAAUGCGUAGAGAUCUGAAGGAAUACCAGUGGCGAAGGCGGCCCCCUGGACAAAGACUGACGCUCAGAUGCGAAAGCGUGGGGAGCAAACAGGAUUAGAUACCCUGGUAGUCCACGCCGUAAACGAUGUCUACUUGGAGGUUGUGGCCUUGAGCCGUGGCUUUCGGAGCUAACGCGUUAAGUAGACCGCCUGGGGAGUACGGUCGCAAGAUUAAAACUCAAAUGAAUUGACGGGGGCCCGCACAAGCGGUGGAGCAUGUGGUUUAAUUCGAUGCAACGCGAAGAACCUUACCUACUCUUGACAUCCAGAGAAGCUUGAGAGAUUCGAGUGUGCUUCGGGAACUCUGAGACAGGUGCUGCAUGGCUGUCGUCAGCUCGUGUUGUGAAUGUUGGGUUUAAGUCCCGCAACGAGCGCAACCAUAUCCUGUUUGCCAGCACUUCGGUGGGGAACUCCAGGAGACUGCCGGGUGAUAAACCGAGG
Molecule: ribosomal RNA, 1147 nt
Filed under: Photobacterium damselae
Lineage: Bacteria; Pseudomonadati; Pseudomonadota; Gammaproteobacteria; Vibrionales; Vibrionaceae
Description: bacterial SSU rRNA
Rfam family: Bacterial small subunit ribosomal RNA
Source: RNAcentral